RNAcentral lists this ribosomal RNA (1617 nucleotides) under metagenome. RNAcentral's name for it is "bacterial LSU rRNA". It matches the Rfam family "Bacterial large subunit ribosomal RNA", at positions 1291 to 2925 of the family's 2925-position model. The record is from RNAcentral.
AGAAUGUUGGCAUGAGUAGCGUAAGGCAGGUGAGAAUCCUGUCCGCCGAAAAUCUAAGGUUUCCUGAGGAAGGUUCGUCCACUCAGGGUUAGUCGGGACCUAAGCCGAGAGCAAGGCGCUGUAGGCGAUGGACAACAGGUUGAUAUUCCUGUACCACCGAAAGUCGUUUGAGCGAAGUGGGGACACAGAAGGAUAGGUUGAGCACGCUGUUGGUAAUGCGUGUCCAAGCGUCGAGGGAGAACUGGUAGGCAAAUCCGCGAGUUCAAUUCUGAGGCGUGAUGGGGUGGCCGCAAGGCUGGAAGCAACUGAUUUCACACUGUCAAGAAAAGCCGCUAGCGAGACCGUAGGUGCCCGUACCGCAAACCGACACAGGUAGAUGAGGAGAGAAUCCUAAGGUGAGCGAGAGAACUAUUGUUAAGGAACUCGGCAAAAUAACCCCGUAACUUCGGGAGAAGGGGUGCUCCGGAAACGGAGCCGCAGUGAAAAGUCCCAGGCGACUGUUUACCAAAAACACAGGUCUCUGCGAAAGCGAAAGCUGAAGUAUAGGGGCUGACGCCUGCCCGGUGCUGGAAGGUUAAGGGGAUGUGUUAGGGCAACCGAAGCACUGAACUUAAGCCCCAGUAAACGGCGGCCGUAACAAUAACGGUCCUAAGGUAGCGAAAUUCCUUGUCGGGUAAGUUCCGACCCGCACGAAAGGCGUAACGAUCUGGGAACUGUCUCAACAAUAGACUCGGUGAAAUUGUAGUACCGGUAAAGAUGCCGGUUACCCGCAGCAGGACGGAAAGACCCCAUGGAGCUUUACUGUAGCUUGAUAUUGAGAUUCGGCGUUGCAUGUACAGGAUAGGUGGGAGACUGCGAGGUAAGUACGCCAGUAUUUACGGAGUCACCGUUGGGAUACCACCCUUGUAACGUUGAGUUUCUAACAUUGCGCCGUGAUCCGGCGCAUGGACAGUGUCAGGUGGGCAGUUUGACUGGGGCGGUCGCCUCCUAAAGAGUAACGGAGGCGCCCAAAGGUUCCCUCAGUGCGGUCGGAAAUCGCGCGAAGAGUGUAAAGGCAGAAGGGAGCUUGACUGCGAGACAGACAAGUCGAGCAGGGACGAAAGUCGGGCUUAGUGAUCCGGUGGUUCCGCGUGGAAGGGCCAUCGCUCAACGGAUAAAAGCUACCCUGGGGAUAACAGGCUGAUACCGCCCAAGAGUUCACAUCGACGGCGGUGUUUGGCACCUUGAUGUCGGCUCGUCUCAUCCUGGGGCUGAAGUAGGUCCCAAGGGUUGGGCUGUUCGCCCAUUAAAGAGGUACGCGAGCUGGGUUCAGAACGUCGUGAGACAGUUCGGUCCCUAUCCGCUGUGGGCGUUGGAGAUUUGAGUGGAGCUGUUCCUAGUACGAGAGGACCGGGAUGGACGUAGCUCUGGUGCACCAGUUGUUCUGCCAAGGGCAUCGCUGGGUAGCUACCUACGGACGGGAUAAGCGCUGAAAGCAUCUAGGUGCGAAGCCCCCCACGAGAAAAGAUCUCCUCCAAUUAUGGUAAGACCCGUGAGAGACUAUCACGUUGAUAGGUCGGAGGUGUAAGUGUGGUGACACAUUUAGCUGACCGAUACUAAUAGGUCGAAAACUUGACC